UGGGGAAUAUUGCACAAUGGGCGCAAGCCUGAUGCAGCCAUGCCGCGUGUAUGAAGAAGGCCUUCGGGUUGUAAAGUACUUUCAGCGAGGAGGAAGGCAUUAAGGUUAAUAACCUUGGUGAUUGACGUUACUCGCAGAAGAAGCACCGGCUAACUCCGUGCCAGCAGCCGCGGUAAUACGGAGGGUGCAAGCGUUAAUCGGAAUUACUGGGCGUAAAGCGCACGCAGGCGGUAUGUCAAGUCGGAUGUGAAAUCCCCGGGCUCAACCUGGGAACUGCAUUCGAAACUGGCAGGCUAGAGUCUUGUAGAGGGGGGUAGAAUUCCAGGUGUAGCGGUGAAAUGCGUAGAGAUCUGGAGGAAUACCGGUGGCGAAGGCGGCCCCCUGGACAAAGACUGACGCUCAGGUGCGAAAGCGUGGGGAGCAAACA
RNAcentral lists this ribosomal RNA (427 nucleotides) under uncultured bacterium. Its description in RNAcentral is "partial 16S ribosomal RNA". It matches the Rfam family "Bacterial small subunit ribosomal RNA", at positions 355 to 774 of the family's 1533-position model. The record is from RNAcentral.